Molecule: long non-coding RNA, 413 nt
Filed under: Gallus gallus (chicken)
Lineage: Eukaryota; Metazoa; Chordata; Aves; Galliformes; Phasianidae
Source: RNAcentral
CUGUGGUGAGAGCAGCUGGGGUGAUUUUCUGGUGAAAGAACAUUGUGGAGCAGAGGGAUCACCACUCAAUGUGCUACCUGGAAGGGGUAAAGAAGAAAGGUUCAAGAGAAGGAUAGGUCUAAUUAUUAGUAGUGAUUUUAAUAAUAGCUCGUCAAUCACUGAUUGUCCAUAGUUUAGGAAGAAAAGAAGUCACCAGGCUUUGAAGUCAGUCCAUCUGUCCGUGCUUUUGAAACGGGAAUUGGGAGUGCAGGUUCUCCAGUGUACACGUGAGGAACAGAGUUUGUCUCAAAAGCCAUUCUGCAAAAACGAGAAGCAGAAAAGCUGUCCAGACCUUCUUUCCAGUCAGGGAAGCACCCAGCAUUGCCUUACUGAUGGACAGAGGCCUAUCACAUAUCCGCAUGCGCUCAUGAGGG